Molecule: ribosomal RNA, 253 nt
Filed under: uncultured bacterium
Lineage: Bacteria
Description: partial 16S ribosomal RNA
Rfam family: Bacterial small subunit ribosomal RNA
Source: RNAcentral
UACGUAGGGGGCAAGCGUUGUCCGGAAUCAUUGGGCGUAAAGCGCGUGUAGGCGGCCUUGUAAGUCCGUUCUGAAAGUCCGAGGCUCAACCUCGGGAGGCGGAUGGAUACUGCAAGGCUCGAGUCCAGAAGAGGCGAGUGGAAUUCCCGGUGUAGCGGUGAAAUGCGCAGAUAUCGGGAGGAACACCAAUGGCGAAGGCAGCUCGUUGGGACGGUACUGACGCUGAGACGCGAAAGCGUGGGGAGCAAACGGG